This 312-nucleotide long non-coding RNA is filed under the name Amborella trichopoda. RNAcentral's name for it is "long non-coding RNA (ATRI_LNC003463)". Lineage: Eukaryota; Viridiplantae; Streptophyta; Magnoliopsida; Amborellales; Amborellaceae. The record is from RNAcentral.
UCUUCUGUUGGAGAUACUACUGAAGAGGACAGUUCAACGUAUGUGGCCUCUCUCCUUCACUUCUUCAACGGUCUCGAUUUCAUCUUCCUCUCAUCUUCCAUUUAUACCAGGAUUAUCGCCGUUCGUACAACUUCUCUCCAACACCAUGAAAUCACAGGAAGCACAGAGAAAGAAGAAAUGACAACAAGCAACAAAGAGAAAAACAAUCACUCCAUCUUUUUUCUUGUCUGCCUCUUUAGAGAGAAAGAGGAGGACUAGUCUAGAGAGAGAAAGAAAGGGACACCUUAUUUUUGCCCUAAAUAUUCACACACG